Molecule: long non-coding RNA, 3325 nt
Organism: Peromyscus leucopus (white-footed mouse)
Lineage: Eukaryota; Metazoa; Chordata; Mammalia; Rodentia; Cricetidae
Exons: 3
Source: RefSeq, a predicted model, not a curated record
AGUCUCAAAAUAAUAGUAAUAAAAUCUUUUUUAAAUUUUGAUUUUUUUCCCUCUAAUUAUUAUUAUUUUUAGAUAACUAAUCUCAUUCUGGUGUUUAGAAGUGGUAUGCUUGGAAGGUCAGGGAAAGUCACCAGGACGAAGCAGUAAGUAGCACCAAACACCCCUUCUCUCUGGCCCUGUGAUUACUGUGCCCACUCUGGGCUCUGCCAGCAAGAGGGCUAUCAUCAGAUGUGGGCCCUUGAACCUUCAGGACUGUGAGCUAAGUCAACCUUAUUUCUUUGUAGAUUUAUUUAGCCUUAGCGUUUUGUUACAAUACUAUAAAACAGACUGACACAGGCACUGUGAGCAAGAACCUUUCCUUGUAGCAGGGAAGGUGCCAGUACACCAGAAUUAAUCUGAAUAAAGGUCGGGGGGAAGAUGCUCAGCCUGUAUCUGGGUGUCGCGUUUCUCCGCCUCUUGCUUUGAGAGCUCUCCUGCUUUGACGCUGAUGCAGGUGACGGCAGCGAGCUGAUGGUUUGAUUUGGGUAUUUAGUGCAAGGUUCUCUGGAAUUUUCAUUUUUCAUAGCACUGGGGACCAGGCCCAUGCUAAACAAGUGGUCUACACCGAGCUACAUCUCAACCGUCAGGUCCGUUUUUAGAAAUAACCUGGGAGUUGGGGGAAAUGACUGGCUGGGCUGUCCUGAGUCUCAGUUGUCAGCAACCCAGGAAUAACCGUGGAUUUCUUUGGCUCCGUCCGCUGGGACAGAAGAUGCCAUCUUCACCCCAGUGGCAAUUUCUAGAGCCAUAGGAAGAAAUCUGUAGUCUCAGGCUGGAGUCUAAACUCCAGCUGAAGGGACACCACGGUGGUAUUCUCCCCCAGAGAGCACCUGGGGCCCAGUGUCCCCAGGGCACAGCCCGCUAGGCCGCACAUAGGGCCGUGGCCUAUGGGACUCCUUCAUAGAGAGGCCGGGGCAGGCCUUUGGCUCUGAAGCAGGCUGAGCUGAGGUCCUUUGUGUUCCCUCUGUGGACCAUUCGCCCCUUGAACUGGGCUUUCUUGGCCAAAGCUUGUGCUAACCCCAGGCUCGACAUCACCCCCGUGGAACCUGUUCCCUGACAGUGUGCUCUUCUCUCUGAAGCUACACAUCCUCUCUAUCCAAUUCCGGGGGCACCCUGCACUCAUGGGCAGCCAUCACGUCUCCUGCCUGCCCUCCUCAUGGUGAAGCUUGUUGGAACUUGUCGCCGCUUAGCCUCUGCUGGGAGGAGCACUGGCCCGGGAGUCAGAAAUGGAAUCCCUCUGCGUUGGCUGAGCGCUGUUCCUGCCUGCCAGUCUCUCUGUCUAGAAAACAGUAGCUAGUGGGUGGCGUUUAGAGCCUCCAGGACCUGGACAUCCGUUUCCAAGAUGCCCCUCUCUCCAGGGGGCUAGACGCGGUCUCCAGUAGUCCCGGCUGGGCUCAAACUCGCUGUGUGGUGGAGAAUGGCCCUGAACUCCUGAUCUGGUCAACCCCGUUACAAAUGAUGAUGUUCGCCGCCACGCCAAGCUUUUUUUUGUUCUUUCCGUGCUGCUGAAGAUGGAAUCCCUUGUGCUCACCAGGCUAGCUCCCUGCCGCUAAGUACAAACCCUUACUCCCCUCCCGCUCUCUCCACGAGGGGUCCCUGUCUCCAGGCGCUUCCAGAGAACUGCGCUUCCAGAGCACACACACUAGGACGUGGUACAAAUGACAGGAAUCAGGACACCCCCACAUGCUACUUUCUGAGCUUGACUCGGUAGAGUUGCCCCCCGGGCGUGGGCUUCCUGGGCUGGAAGGACUUUCCUGACCCCGUGGCCGCACUGUCUAGUCGCCAUCCAGCCCUGUCCUCACCAGCUCUGGUCUCUGGAGGCUCCUGAAGGACACUAAUCAGAAGGGUGCAAGCACAGAGAGGUUACCUGAGCCUCCCAGGCAGGAGAAGGCAGAGGCCAGGAUACAGUGCAUAAAUAUUGGGGCAGGCAGGCUGAGUUUCAGAGCCCAGCUCCCCCACCCCCACCCCAAUCCUGCUGCUCCCUUGAGACCUCAGGAGCCCGAUCGCCCCCUCCCUCCCACAGGCAGCUGGAGCCUGAGUCACGAGCUGCCUCUCAGGAGACAAAGGCAGCCCAGGGCCCUCCCUCCAGACCCCCUCCUGGUGUCAGCAUCUGUACUAGCAGGGAGUCUAACAUCCCUAGAACCUCUGGGGGAAAUGGAAGAACUUAGACGCUGCCUUCGGACUUGAGUGGCAGCUGAUGUCACAUCGCUAUCUUCGGCAGGGGCCACCCCCAGGUAUUUGCUGGUCCUGAGGAGUCAAUAUGAGGUCAAGCGCUGAGCAGACACCAACACAAUAGGGUAAGAGAGAGGGCCCCAGAAGAGGAGCAACAAGGGCAGACUGCACCUAGGAAGACAGCACAGUCCCAGAGCGCUGCUCAGAAAUGGGGUCGGAGAGAGAGCACCCUCAGAGCCCCUGCAGCCCCAAGGUCAGCUCGGCAGGGUGACAGGAACCUAAGUACACAGCACUGUUGGUGGCGCUUGCCCCAUCUUUAGGAAAGCCAGGGAAGGAAGCAGGAAAAAGGAUGCGUCAGAAAGCACAGCUCCUAAGUCCCGAACAAACAGAGCAACAAAACCCCGAACUAAAAACCGGUCCCAACAGAGGCGGUGAUGUGCGAUCCGCUUGUGGCGAUGGGAUUAAAGCUCGUCAUAUCCCUGCCCAUCUUGCCCCCCCACCUUCUAAAUGACAAUGUAGAAAGUCUUUAUGGGGAAUGGGGGGAGGGGGUCUGGCUGGAAAUCACAUGGGUAUGUGUGCAUGUGUGUGGGGAGGGGACUGGUCAUUUUUAGCUAGGGUAAAUGGAGCUGGCCUGACGGGCACGGGGCGGGUGGUCGCCCCCCUUCCUGCUUUAACCCACUAAUAGCCUGUCAGCCCCUCAUCUCUCCCAACAGAAGGACGCGAUCCUCCUUAAGAUGUAAAUCCUUCCUCUUCCUCCCGCUAUACUCGCCAUUUUCAUAAGCUGAUUCCAGGCUCCAAAGAGGGAGGGAGAGAAGGGAGGAGGAAAGCCCCAAGGUGGGUGAAUUCUUCAUCAUACAGGAGUUAGAAGCAAGGGUCUCACUCUUUCAGCAGAUACUGACAGGCACCCGCCUGUGCUGGGACAGAGGGACACUGGGGUGAAUUGGAAACCUAGUCCUUGUCCUCCUGGUGUCCCCAUCUGGACAUCGAGAAGUGGCCUGAUAAUCUCUUCCUCCUGGAAGGAAUGGAUUAUGAAUCCUGCCCUUCAGGAAAAGGUUUUGAUUUAUUUCACUUUUUUUUUUUGUUGUUGUUGUUGUUGGUUAGUUGGUUGGUUUUGGUU